CGACCGGCGCACGGGUGAGUAACACGUAUCCAACCUGCCGUCUACUCUUGGACAGCCUUCUGAAAGGAAGAUUAAUACAAGAUGGCAUCAUGAGUCCGCAUGUUCACAUGAUUUAAAAGGUAUUCCGGUAGACGAUGGGGAUGCGUUCCAUUAGAUAGUAGGCGGGGGUAACGGGCCCACCUAGUCUUCGAUGGAUAGGGGUUCUGAGAGGAAGGUCCCCCACAUUGGAACUGAGACACGGUCCAAACUCCUACGGGAGGCAGCAUG
This 267-nucleotide ribosomal RNA is filed under the name uncultured bacterium. Its description in RNAcentral is "partial 16S ribosomal RNA". It matches the Rfam family "Bacterial small subunit ribosomal RNA", at positions 92 to 353 of the family's 1533-position model. The record is from RNAcentral.